Long non-coding RNA from Branchiostoma belcheri (Belcher's lancelet), 637 nucleotides. RefSeq lists it as uncharacterized. The transcript is spliced from 3 exons. NCBI's taxonomy places the organism in Eukaryota, Metazoa, Chordata, Leptocardii, Amphioxiformes, Branchiostomatidae. The record is from RefSeq and is a predicted model, not a curated record.
GAUGCUGAUUUGUUGUAAACACGGAACUGCACACAGGGUGUGAACAACGUAGCAGAGCUUUACACCGAGUUCCACGUCAACAUAUAUUGAGUGACUUCUCUUAAGGGUCCUCUUUGUGUCUUGCCUAAUAGAAAAACAAGAAAAAAUUGUUGACGGAGGGGAACCAGACUCAGUUUUGUAUCAUGAUGAUGCAUGAAGGAAUCCGUCGUCUCUGUAAAAGCCGAUUGGCUGUCCUUAUUUUCGGGAUUGUCAUUGGAAGAUGGGGGACAAACAUCUUUGGAGUUCCAGACGUUUCUUACGCCAAAGGACCUCAUCAGAAAGACGCCGAUGGUUUGAAGGAAAGUGUCAACAGGCUUUUGCAGGCCCAUGAAGCUCCCGGGAAGUCUAUACAGGACUUCUAUUCCAAAGACGCCCAAUGGUUAAAAGGAAGACUCCCAACCGCUGGGGAGCCAAGAAAGAUCCUACUCGACUGUGGUGCCAAUGUGGCGUCCACUGUACAGUUAUUUAGAGAGACCUACCCGGGAGGAAAGGACUUCAUCAUACACUCCUUUGAAAUAGACGAGAGGCUGGCGCCAUACUUCGCACCGUACCCGAAUCACGUGCUGCACUGUCCAACAGGGGUAUCGAACAAGGACGG